AAUAUUUGACAAUGGGCGAAAGCCUGAUCCAGCCAUGCCGCGUGUGUGAAGAAGGNCUNNGGAUUNGNAAGCACUUUAAGUUGNNNNNGAGGGUUGUAGGUUAAUACCCUGCACUUUUGACGUUACCAACAGAAUAAGCACCGGCUAACUUCGUGCCAGCAGCCGCGGAAAGACGAAGGGUGCAAGCGUUAAUCGGAAUUACGGGGCGUAAAGCUCGCGUAGGUGGUUCGUUAAGUUGGAAGUGAAAGCCCCGGGCUUAACCUGGGAAUUGCUUUCAAAACUGACGAGCUAGAGUACGGUAGAGGGUAGUGGACUUUCCUGUGUAGCGGUGAAAUGCGUAGAUAUAGGAAGGAACAUCAGUGGCGAAGGCGACUACCUGGACUGAUACUGACACUGAGGUGCGAAAGCGUGGGGAGCAAACAGG
RNAcentral lists this ribosomal RNA (424 nucleotides) under uncultured bacterium. Its description in RNAcentral is "partial 16S ribosomal RNA". It matches the Rfam family "Bacterial small subunit ribosomal RNA", at positions 360 to 776 of the family's 1533-position model. The record is from RNAcentral.